GCUGGCGGCGUGCCUAAUACAUGCAAGUGGGACGCAAGGGAACACACUGUGCUUGCACACCGUGUUUUCUUGAGUCGCGAACGGGUGAGUAACGCGUAGGUAACCUGCCUAUUAGCGGGGGAUAACUAUUGGAAACGAUAGCUAAUACCGCAUAAUAUUAAUUAUUGCAUGAUAAUUGAUUGAAAGAUGCAAGCGCAUCACUAGUAGAUGGACCUGCGUUGUAUUAGCUAGUUGGUAAGGUAAGAGCUUACCAAGGCGACGAUACAUAGCCGACCUGAGAGGGUGAUCGGCCACACUGGGACUGAGACACGGCCCAGACUUCUACGGGAGGCAGCAGUAGGGAAUCUUCGGCAAUGGACGAAAGUCUGACCGAGCAACGCCGCGUGAGUGAAGAAGGUUUUCGGAUCGUAAAGCUCUGUUGUAAGUCAAGAACGUGUGUGAGAGUGGAAAGU
This 452-nucleotide ribosomal RNA is filed under the name Streptococcus mutans. RNAcentral's name for it is "bacterial SSU rRNA". It matches the Rfam family "Bacterial small subunit ribosomal RNA", at positions 35 to 463 of the family's 1533-position model. Lineage: Bacteria; Bacillati; Bacillota; Bacilli; Lactobacillales; Streptococcaceae. The record is from RNAcentral.